ACGAACGCUGGCGGCGUGCUUAACACAUGCAAGUCGAACGGAAAGACCCUGCUUUUGUGGGGUGCUCGAGUGGCGAACGGGUGAGUAACACGUGAGUAACCUGCCCUUGACUUUGGGAUAACUUCAGGAAACUGGGGCUAAUACCGGAUAGGAGCUCCUGCUGCAUGGUGGGGGUUGGAAAGUUUCGGCGGUUGGGGAUGGACUCGCGGCUUAUCAGCUUGUUGGUGGGGUAGUGGCUUACCAAGGCUUUGACGGGUAGCCGGCCUGAGAGGGUGACCGGCCACAUUGGGACUGGGAUACGGCCCAGACUCCUACGGGAGGCAGCAGUGGGGAAUAUUGCACAAUGGGCGGAAGCCUGAUGCAGCAACGCCGCGUGCGGGAUGACGGCCUUCGGGUUGUAAACCGCUUUCGCCUGUGACGAAGCGUGAGUGACGGUAAUGGGUAAAGAAGCACCGGCUAACUACGUG
RNAcentral lists this ribosomal RNA (467 nucleotides) under uncultured bacterium. RNAcentral describes it as "partial 16S ribosomal RNA". It matches the Rfam family "Bacterial small subunit ribosomal RNA", at positions 29 to 507 of the family's 1533-position model. The record is from RNAcentral.